UUGUCUGCAGCGUUAUGUCCGCAUACCCUGACUCCGUCGCAGUAGCCAGUCUAGGGUGCUUGAGCUCCAGGUUUGUUCAGAAGGCAGCCAGUUGUGUCUGUGAAGCUUUUUUGCCUCCAUGAGCAAAAAGAAAGCUCUGGGAUUCGUGGUGCCAUCUGUUCACCGUGUCGGUAGCUCCCCUUUGAAUUGUGAUAAAGCGUUUUCUUCUCGUGCUGUAGGGUCAUCCACUGACCCUGGACCAUUGCCUCCACCACUUCAUCUCAUCAGAAUCCGUGCGGGAUGUUGUGUGUGACAACUGCACAAAGAUUGAAGCCAAAGGGACGUUGAAUGGGGAGAAGGUGGAACACCAGAGGACCACUUUCGUUAAGCAGUUAAAACUAGGGAAGCUCCCUCAGUGUCUGUGCAUCCACCUGCAGCGGCUG
This is a long non-coding RNA of Myotis brandtii (Brandt's bat), 422 nucleotides long. RefSeq lists it as uncharacterized. The record is from RefSeq and is a predicted model, not a curated record. Lineage: Eukaryota; Metazoa; Chordata; Mammalia; Chiroptera; Vespertilionidae. The transcript is spliced from 3 exons.